GACGAACGCUGGCGGCGUGCCUAAUACAUGCAAGUUGAGCGCUGAAGGUUGGUACUUGUACCAACUGGAUGAGCAGCGAACGGGUGAGUAACGCGUGGGGAAUCUGCCUUUGAGCGGGGGACAACAUUUGGAAGCGAAUGCUAAUACCGCAUAAAAACUUUAAACACAAGUUUUAAGUUUGAAAGAUGCAAUUGCAUCACUCAAAGAUGAUCCCGCGUUGUAUUAGCUAGUUGGUGAGGUAAAGGCUCACCAAGGCGAUGAUACAUAGCCGACCUGAGAGGGUGAUCGGCCACAUUGGGACUGAGACACGGCCCAAACUCCUACGGGAGACAGCAGUAGGGAAGCUUCGGCAAUGGACGAAAGUCUGACCGAGCAACGCCGCGUGAGUGAAGAAGGUUGUCGGAUCGUAAAACUCUGUUGGUAGAGAAGAACGUUGGUGAGAGUGGAAAGCUCAUCAAGUGACGGUAACUACCCAGAAAGGGACGGCUAACUACGUG
RNAcentral lists this ribosomal RNA (497 nucleotides) under uncultured bacterium. RNAcentral's name for it is "partial 16S ribosomal RNA". It matches the Rfam family "Bacterial small subunit ribosomal RNA", at positions 28 to 507 of the family's 1533-position model. The record is from RNAcentral.